CUGGGAAGGAAGGGAGGGGAUGGUAGGUGGUGGGUGACCGCGGCAGUGUCUGCGAUCCAUGUGACACCCCUGUCCUGGUCCAGGUACGGAGCUCGGUGUCCAGGGCCAGCUCCCCCCAACACAAAUGCAGACUCCCACGCCUGGCGACCCCCUGUGCCUCCCUUCUGCACCUCGAGGAGGCUCACACGCGAGUGGGGACACCUCCGCCUGCCCCUGCGCUCUGUCCACUCUCCCCCAGGCGCAAUGACCUCUGCACGCAGGGCUGCAGGCCCUGGAGGGGGCUCCCCUGGGGACCCGGAGCCGGUGGACCAGGCACACAAUCUGCAGCAGGAUUUCCUGAAGGCUCGCGGCCUCCAAAGCCUGGGGAGGGGCUCAGCCCUCAGGCCAGGGCGGGCCUCCGAGGUGCUGCCGGCAGGCAGGCGCCUCCACCCGGGCUCCGGAUCCGGCCCCGGCCAAAGUCAAGAGAGGAGAGAGGUCCAGGUCCCAGACGGCUCAGCCACCAAGUCAGUUUACUGAGCCACGAGCUGCAGACGGGAGAGAAAGAAGGCACAGAAAAUAAAAUAUCCGACUUUUUCUUUUCAUGAUCUUCCUCAAAAAUAUAGUGUAGCUACUAUUUCCCUAGCAUUUCUAUUGCAUUAGGUAUUAUGAGUAGUGCAGAGAUGAUUUAGGGUGGGAGUAUUCCAUAGAUUAUAUGCAAAUAAUAUGUUUGCAAAAUAUAUUAUAUGCAAAUAAUAUAUAUAUAUAAAAUAUAUAUUUGCAGACCAUUUUAUGUAAGGAAUCUGAGCAUCCACAGAUUUCAAUAUCCUCAGAGGGUCCUGGAACCACCCCCUUUGAAUACCAAGGGAAGACUACACAGGUAGUAUGAGAGAUACUAAAAAUAUUUUAUAAUUGACAUCCACCACCUACUAAUCAGAAUAGUUGCCUAUCCCAGUCAGUAUGGAAUGUCAUCUGUCUAUCUAUCUAUCUAUCUAUCUGGAUCUAUUUAUAGUCAUAUAUCCAUAUUAAACUGAACCAUUUGAAAAUGUCACCAUUCAAAUAUUUUUGAUAUGCAGAAAGAGUGAUUUCAUAUGACUUAACCUAACGAUAUACAUCAUGGUGAUGAUAUAAAGUGUAUUUCUAAUCACAGGUUGCUUUUUAAAAACAUUGAAAAGCAACACCAGGUACAGUGGCUCACACCUGUAAUCCCAGCAGCUUCGGAGGCUGAGGCAGGAGGAUCAGGAAUCCAAAGCCAGCCUCAGCAACUUAGUGAGGCCCUAAGCAACUCAGAGAGACCUUGUCUCAAAAUAAAAUAUAAAAAGGGCUGGGGAUGUGGCUCAGGGGGAAAGCACCCCUGAGUUCAAUCCAUGGUACAAAAAAUAAAUGAAAAUCACCAGAGAAGGGCUUGCUGCAGGUUGUGGUGGGGAAGGAAAACCGCUUCUGACCCUAGGAAUUGCUGGCAGCACACGUGCCCCCGGCUGGGCAGCCACACCAGCAUGCGGGAUGUUUGUGGGG
This 1491-nucleotide long non-coding RNA is filed under the name Marmota monax (woodchuck). The record is from RNAcentral. Lineage: Eukaryota; Metazoa; Chordata; Mammalia; Rodentia; Sciuridae.